RNAcentral lists this ribosomal RNA (253 nucleotides) under uncultured bacterium. RNAcentral's name for it is "partial 16S ribosomal RNA". It matches the Rfam family "Bacterial small subunit ribosomal RNA", at positions 524 to 776 of the family's 1533-position model. The record is from RNAcentral.
GACGGAGGGGGCUAGCGUUGUUCGGAAUUACUGGGCGUAAAGCGCGCGUAGGCGGUGAUCUUUGUCAGAGGUGAAAUCCCGAGGCUCAACUUCGGAAUUGCCUUUGAAACGGGAUCGCUUGAGUCCGAGAGAGGAUGGCGGAAUUCCUAGUGUAGAGGUGAAAUUCGUAGAUAUUAGGAAGAACUCCGGUGGCGAAGGCGGCCAUCUGGCUCGGUACUGACGCUCAGGCGCGAAAGCGUGGGGAGCAAACAGG